UGGGAAAAAUUCCGAGAGGGGGAGUUAACAUGGCCGUGGCUACACCAGUAUUCUAUUACUCUGCUCUGACUAAGCAAUCUAAAAGACCUAGGAUUCUGCCCCGGUGCAAAUAUGGGUUGACCUUGAUGAGCUUAAUAACGAAAAGUGCUGGCAUAAUGCUGAAAAAAAAGUGAAAAAUAAUACAUUUUCUGUGUCACCGUACCAGCACGUUCCGUUGUUAGCUGGCCAGUCAACCCAUAUUUGCACCGGGCACCGGGGCCGAGCGCUAAGUAAACCUCUUUUACGGUGCGACCGGUGCGACGGUGCUGCGGAGUAGACCACGACCACAGCAGAAUUCUUGAAGUCUGGCAAUGUCGAAAUCCGCCAUGAUGUUUGGAUGACGGUGUUUUUCGCUGUUCCCCCUCACUUUUCCACAGAGAAUUAUUUGAGUGAAUUUUCCCCUGCACAAUAAACAACGUGUAUACUAGUAUUGUAACCUACUCCAUUUACUUAUCCUGUUGUAGAGAUUCGAUUAACGACGCAGCCAACAUUUCAACAGUUAACGAUGCCAACAAACAGAGAAAAUGAAUAAAUAAAAGUGAAAAUUUACUUGGAAACCCACAGAGAGUUCGUACCUCCUAAACCAUGUUAAUUUGUCACAUCCAUAGUUCUUUGUCGUUUUGUUUUGGUUUAUGGACAUCCAUCACAUUACAUAUUUUCAACACA
Daphnia magna is the source of this 705-nucleotide long non-coding RNA. RefSeq lists it as uncharacterized. NCBI's taxonomy places the organism in Eukaryota, Metazoa, Arthropoda, Branchiopoda, Diplostraca, Daphniidae. The transcript is spliced from 2 exons. The record is from RefSeq and is a predicted model, not a curated record.